CCGGUCAUGUGUGAUAGACGGCGGUCGUUGCAUGGUCGGGGUUGUGGGACCCGUUGUCCUGUUCUGCCGGACAGGAGCAGUUACAGCGCAGUAUAGGCGAACAGCUUUGAAUGGCUGGUCAUAGAGGGUGCGAACCCCGUAGCCGAAAUGCUGGCGCUGGCUGAAUGGGGAUCCCAAGUAGCUCGGGGCCCGAGAAAUCCCGUGUGAAUCUGUCAGGACCACCUGAUAAGCCUAAAUACUCCCAGAUGACCGAUAGCGGACAAGUACCGUGAGGGAAAGGUGAAAAGUACCCCGGGAGGGGAGUGAAAUAGUACCUGAAACCGUUUGCUUACAAACCGUUGGAGCCUCCUUGUAGGGGUGACAGCGUGCCUUUUGAAGAAU
This 381-nucleotide ribosomal RNA is filed under the name Staphylococcus aureus. RNAcentral describes it as "partial 23S ribosomal RNA". It matches the Rfam family "Bacterial large subunit ribosomal RNA", at positions 274 to 616 of the family's 2925-position model. Lineage: Bacteria; Bacillati; Bacillota; Bacilli; Caryophanales; Staphylococcaceae. The record is from RNAcentral.